AGCGAACGCUGGCGGCAGGCUUAACACAUGCAAGUCGAACGGGCAUCUUCGGAUGUCAGUGGCAGACGGGUGCGUAACACGUGGGAACGUACCCUUCGGUUCGGAAUAACUCAGGGAAACUUGAGCUAAUACCGGAUACGCCCUUUUGGGGAAAGGUUUACUGCCGAAGGAUCGGCCCGCGUCUGAUUAGCUUGUUGGUGGGGUAACGGCCUACCAAGGCGACGAUCAGUAGCUGGUCUGAGAGGAUGAUCAGCCACACUGGGACUGAGACACGGCCCAGACUCCUACGGGAGGCAGCAGUGGGGAAUAUUGGACAAUGGGCGCAAGCCUGAUCCAGCCAUGCCGCGUGAGUGAUGAAGGCCUUAGGGUUGUAAAGCUCUUUUGUCCGGGACGAUAAUGACGGUACCGGAAGAAUAAGCCCCGGCGAACUUCGU
Molecule: ribosomal RNA, 434 nt
Filed under: uncultured bacterium
Lineage: Bacteria
Description: partial 16S ribosomal RNA
Rfam family: Bacterial small subunit ribosomal RNA
Source: RNAcentral